CACGUGGAGGAUUGUUAAUUCUGCGAUGUCUGACUCAGGGGUGUUUGAUUACAUGGAGGCCACCACCAACAGGGUGACACAUGAUGUAGUGUGAGACCGGGGAGCGGGGCUGCAGCCAGGCCCCUGUCCUGAUGAGGUGCGUCUGCAGGGAUGGGACUCAGCGGCGGGGAAAUGAGACGCUCUGUUUUCCAGGCAGCCUGGGCUGGUGGCAGGAAGAGCUCUGGCGAGAGAUGAAUAGGACUUGGCCCAGCCAUGCGCUCGGUGACGGGCGUGAGAGUUCAUUUGCUGCUUGAAGAUUUAGUUCCCAAUUAAUAAGUGGAGAGCCAGCCUGGUGCCUCAGGAGGUGUUCCGGGCUGAACUGUGUCCGCCACCCCCGCCCCAGCCCCCACCUUCUCCAAAAAGUCUAUGUUAGGGUCCUAACCUCGGCACCUCCAAAUGUGACUGUGUUUGGGGAUGGGGCCUUCAAAGAGGUGAUUAAAGUAAAAUGAGCUCAUACGGUCGGGUCAUAAUCCAAUCUGACUGGUGUCCUUCUAAGAGGAGAUUAAGACACAGACACGCGCAGAGGGAAGACCACGUGAAGAUGGGGGAAGACAGCUGUCUGCAAGUCAAAGAGAGAGGCCUCAGAGGAAACCAGCCCUGCUGACACCUUGGUCUUGGACUUCUAGCUCCUGUAUUAAGCAGCGCUGUCUGCGGGAAGGUGCCUUUCCUGCCCAGACUACUGAAGGAGACUGCCAGUACAAGAGGCUUUCACUCCCCUUGAGGGUUUGCAGGCAGGAGAAAAGAGUGACAAAGUUUUUUCUUCCUCCUCUGUUCUAUGCUCCCCGCUGAUACCUCUGGUAGAGCAUUCACCUACUGGGCUGUAGCCUGUUGGGUGCAUUUUCCCCCUAAUACCACAGGCUCUCAAUUUCCAGCACAAAGCUCAGGACACCAGGAAACAUCUGGUGAUGGAAGGCUGAGGUCAUAAAGGACAGCAAUAUCCCAGCCCACAGCAGGGUCCCCACACCUGCUGUACUGCAUUCACUCGGUAGUGACUCCAUUUCAAAAGGGGCCUCUCAUGGGGUGGCCAUGAGGAGCUGGAGCUUGUGAGCCCCUUAAAAUGAAGGCAAAGUCAUAUACUUCACGUCUGCCCAUUGCAAGAGUUCAUCAAGAAAGACAGCACUGGUGUGUAUUAAAAAACCACAAUGUAUUAA
Molecule: long non-coding RNA, 1190 nt
Organism: Homo sapiens (human)
Lineage: Eukaryota; Metazoa; Chordata; Mammalia; Primates; Hominidae
Source: Ensembl